UGAGAUCGAGGGUCCAAGACUAUAUAUAGGGAUCUCAAACUCCUUGUUUCAACACACAAAAAACACCAAGCAGUAGCACUUGGAAACACUUUAAGUUUAUAUUUGUGUUUUCUUUUUCUCUUAUGCUCUUGUUUAAGAGUAUUGUGAGAUGUAGUUCAAAUAUUUACUUUGGAGAGUGUGGGUGUGUUGGGGUGGUUGAGAGUGAAGUCUAUGUGUUAU
Molecule: long non-coding RNA, 219 nt
Filed under: Lotus japonicus
Lineage: Eukaryota; Viridiplantae; Streptophyta; Magnoliopsida; Fabales; Fabaceae
Description: long non-coding RNA (LJAP_LNC000424)
Source: RNAcentral